GCUUGCUUCUUUGCUGACGAGUGGCGGACGGGUGAGUAAUGUCUGGGAAACUGCCUGAUGGAGGGGGAUAACUACUGGAAACGGUAGCUAAUACCGCAUAACGUCGCAAGACCAAAGAGGGGGACCUUCGGGCCUCUUGCCAUCGGAUGUGCCCAGAUGGGAUUAGCUUGUUGGUGGGGUAACGGCUCACCUAGGCGACGAUCCCUAGCUGGUCUGAGAGGAUGACCAGCCACACUGGAACUGAGACACGGUCCAGACUCCUACGGGAGGCAGCAGUGGGGAAUAUUGCACAAUGGGCGCAAGCCUGAUGCAGCCAUGCCGCGUGUAUGAAGAAGGCCUUCGGGUUGUAAAGUACUUUCAGCGGGGAGGAAGGGAGUAAAGUUAAUACCUUUGCUCAUUGACGUUACCCGCAGAAGAAGCACCGGCUAACUCCGUGCCAGCAGCCGCGGUAAUACGGAGGGUGCAAGCGUUAAUCGGAAUUACUGGGCGUAAAGCGCACGCAGGCGGUUUGUUAAGUCAGAUGUGAAAUCCCCGGGCUCAACCUGGGAACUGCAUCUGAUACUGGCAAGCUUGAGUCUCGUAGAGGGGGGUAGAAUUCCAGGUGUAGCGGUGAAAUGCGUAGAGAUCUGGAGGAAUACCGGUGGCGAAGGCGGCCCCCUGGACGAAGACUGACGCUCA
This 678-nucleotide ribosomal RNA is filed under the name Escherichia coli. Its description in RNAcentral is "bacterial SSU rRNA". It matches the Rfam family "Bacterial small subunit ribosomal RNA", at positions 74 to 749 of the family's 1533-position model. The record is from RNAcentral. Lineage: Bacteria; Pseudomonadati; Pseudomonadota; Gammaproteobacteria; Enterobacterales; Enterobacteriaceae.